AGUGGACGCUGGCGGUAGGCCUAACACAUGCAAGUCGAACGGCAGCACAGUAAGAGCUUGCUCUUACGGGUGGCGAGUGGCGGACGGGUGAGGAAUACAUCGGAAUCUACUUUUUCGUGGGGGAUAACGUAGGGAAACUUACGCUAAUACCGCAUACGACCUACGGGUGAAAGCAGGGGAUCUUCGGACCUUUCGCGUUUGUAUGAGCCGAUGUCGGAUUAGCUAGUUGGCGGGGUAAAGGCCCACCAAGGCGACGAUCCGUAGCUGGUCUGAGAGGAUGAUCAGCCACACUGGAACUGAGACACGGUCCAGACUCCUACGGGAGGCAGCAGUGGGGAAUAUUGGACAAUGGGCGCAAGCCUGAUCCAGCCAUACCGCGUGGGUGAAGAAGGCCUUCGGGUUGUAAAGCCCUUUUGUUGGGAAAGAAAAGCAGCAGGUUAAUACCCCGCUGUUCUGACGGUACCCAAAGAAUAAGCACCGGCUAACUUCGUG
RNAcentral lists this ribosomal RNA (492 nucleotides) under uncultured bacterium. RNAcentral describes it as "partial 16S ribosomal RNA". It matches the Rfam family "Bacterial small subunit ribosomal RNA", at positions 29 to 507 of the family's 1533-position model. The record is from RNAcentral.